UUACGCGCCGCGGCGACGACGCGACGUUCACCCCCGCGAUUUACACCCCCGCCCGCACGCUGAUCAGACACUCGCACACACACGCGACCACGUUUAACCGCUCGCGUGCGGUGAGUUGUAGGCGGUACAUACGCGUUAUUGUUUUAGUAAUCGUUUAGGAAAUAGUUUUAUCAACUACGUAUAAGUCGCCAUCACCGCAUAACACAGAUAAAUAUUAAGUUUUUUAUUUUUUCGUCUUCACCGCAGUAAGAGUGAAUAUAAUACAAUAUCUCUCGUGUGAGUCGUAUGGAGUAUUAUGUUAUAUUUUAGCUAUUAUCACGAAUCAUCGCGCAUCGAUUACAACAUUUUGCGUUCGGUUUACGGAAAAUUCAUGAAUACACUGUGUAACGAACUGCCAACUGGAUACUACUUCGCUAAAAAUACGCAAAUGAUUUGUGAUUUAUGCUUUGCGUCCCGAAUAUAUUAUUUAAUAUUAUUCACAUUAUCUUGAUAAAUCAACGCGCGGCCAACUGUACAUGACCGAAGAGGACAGAGACAACAGCGGAAAGAGAGAAAAAUUAAUAAAUUAAAAAAAAAAAAAACAAAAAACGGUUUUCGGUAAUUUACCGUACCUGCGUGGCGAGACCACACGCGACAUGGCUUGACAGCGUCUUGAAGUUUACGAUGAUGCCGGUGAACAACGGGAUCGAACAAUACAUAGAGAAGACUUAAAUAAUGCUAUAAUUUAAAAAAUGCAUGGACAUUCGUCGCAUGGAAUCCUAUUGUUUUUGGAAUAAGUUUAAAGACAAAGUGGUAAUAAAUCUCACAAAAACUAUACCGCAGACAUUUAAAGAGAUCCAAAGUUCAUUAUGGUUCUACGGAAGCCAAACUGUCUGAAUUAGAUAUUGAAAAUAAUUUGAUGUCGGAUGUCGACAAGCAAAUUGGAUGUCAACGAAUUGACUUGACGGACAAUCGGUAUGACACAGUAGAAUUUCAUAUUUUCGUGUCAUCUAAAAAGACUACAA
Molecule: long non-coding RNA, 1004 nt
Organism: Rhopalosiphum padi (bird cherry-oat aphid)
Lineage: Eukaryota; Metazoa; Arthropoda; Insecta; Hemiptera; Aphididae
Exons: 5
Source: RefSeq, a predicted model, not a curated record